This 275-nucleotide ribosomal RNA is filed under the name uncultured bacterium. Its description in RNAcentral is "partial small subunit ribosomal RNA". It matches the Rfam family "Bacterial small subunit ribosomal RNA", at positions 26 to 285 of the family's 1533-position model. The record is from RNAcentral.
AGAAUCAACGCUGGCGGCGUGCCUAACACAUGCAAGUCGAACGCGAAAGGGGCCUUCGGGCCCUGAGUAGAGUGGCGGACGGGUGAGUAACACGUGGGUAAUUUGCCUUUUGGUGGGGAAUAACACCUCGAAAGAGAUGCUAAUACCGCAUAACGCAGUUUUGUCGCAUGGCGAGAUUGUUAAAGUGGGGGAUCGCAGGACCUCACGCCGGAAGAGAAGCCCGCGCCCGAUUAGCUAGUUGGUGGGGUAAAGGCCUACCAAGGCUUCGAUCGGUA